CUCCAGCAGACCCUCCCUCCCAGACCCUCCUACUUCCUGUACAGGGAUGCUGUACAGGAAGUAGGAGAGUCUGGGAGGGAGGGUCUGCUGGAG
This 93-nucleotide microRNA precursor is filed under the name Pelobates cultripes (western spadefoot toad). Lineage: Eukaryota; Metazoa; Chordata; Amphibia; Anura; Pelobatidae. The record is from RNAcentral.